CAGUAGCCGCGGGAAUACGUAGGGUGCAAGCGUUAAUCGGAAUUACUGGGCGUAAAGCGUGCGCAGGCGGUUUUGUAAGACAGAGGUGAAAUCCCCGGGCUCAACCUGGGAACUGCCUUUGUGACUGCAAGGCUAGAGUACGGCAGAGGGGGAUGGAAUUCCGCGUGUAGCAGUGAAAUGCGUAGAUAUGCGGAGGAACACCGAUGGCGAAUGCAAUCCCCUGGGCCUGUACUGACGCUCAUGCACGAAAGCGUGGGGAGCAAACAGGAUUAGAUACCCCCGUAGUCCCUGUCUCUUAUAC
RNAcentral lists this ribosomal RNA (301 nucleotides) under uncultured bacterium. RNAcentral's name for it is "partial 16S ribosomal RNA". It matches the Rfam family "Bacterial small subunit ribosomal RNA", at positions 509 to 807 of the family's 1533-position model. The record is from RNAcentral.